RNAcentral lists this RNase P RNA (263 nucleotides) under Corynebacterium sp. RNAcentral describes it as "partial RNase P RNA component class A". It matches the Rfam family "Bacterial RNase P class A", at positions 144 to 367 of the family's 367-position model. From Rfam's summary of the family: Ribonuclease P (RNase P) is a ubiquitous endoribonuclease, found in archaea, bacteria and eukarya as well as chloroplasts and mitochondria. Its best characterised activity is the generation of mature 5'-ends of tRNAs by cleaving the 5'-leader elements of precursor-tRNAs. The record is from RNAcentral. Lineage: Bacteria; Bacillati; Actinomycetota; Actinomycetes; Mycobacteriales; Corynebacteriaceae.
CAAGGUAAGGGUGAAACGGUGCGUUAAGAGCGCACCAGCACCGUCAGUGAUGGCGGUGGCUGGGUAAACCCCACCGGGAGCAAGGCAUCACGGCCCCGCCACGUUGCGGGGCCCGAUCAGGCGUUUUAAGGCUGCUCGCUCGAGCCUGAAGGUAGCUGCUGGAACCAACUGGCAACGGUUGGUCUAGAUGGAUGUUCACCGCGCGGUGCUUCCCAGGGAGUGCCGCGGUUAGACAGAAUCCGGCUUAUAGGCCGACUCAUUCG